Molecule: RNA transcript, 3177 nt
Organism: Thalassophryne amazonica
Lineage: Eukaryota; Metazoa; Chordata; Actinopteri; Batrachoidiformes; Batrachoididae
Gene: gdpd5b
Gene name: glycerophosphodiester phosphodiesterase domain containing 5b
Exons: 18
Source: RefSeq, a predicted model, not a curated record
ACGUGGGUCUGUUCAGGAGGGAGGGAGAUAAAAAAAAACAAAAAGAAACGAACCCCCGUCGACACGCCUUCCACAGGGGAGCGUUGAAUUAUUCACCGGUGUGCCGCCGCACGGGCGGAGACUAAGCAGGACCGCGACUGACCGCGGAACACCGUCCAUCCUCUGUGUUCCACUUUCUGGCUGUUUUCGCUGGAAACUUCGGCUCUGUCAGCAUUUUCUCCUCUCAGCUCUUGUUUGUCAGGGUUUGACUGGGAAUUUUUCACCGGGGGAGAAAGAAACAGAGAACGGGCGAGUGCCGGGAGAAGCGAAGAAAUUAAGAAGUGUCAGCAGUUCUUCUCACACCGGAUACGUCUGUCAGUGGGAUGUUAAAUCUCUGGAUGCAGGACCAGGACUGACUGAAGGAGCAUGGUGAAGCACCAACCCCUGCAGGUCUAUGAACGGCAGCUGUGUUUGUCAUGCAUCACUGGGUUCUACGGUUGCCGCUGGAAACGCUACCAACGUUCCCAUGAUGACACCACUAAGUGGGAGUUGCUGUGGUCCUUCAUCCUGCUCUUCACCUUCUGUCUGUUGCUGGUCUGGUUCUACUUCUGGUCAGAGGCUCAUAAUGACUACAAUGAGUUUAAUUGGUUCCUCUACAACCGCUCUGGGGAGUGGAGUGAUGGCACUGUUCCAGUUCUGGCAACUACUGCUGCCGGCUUCACCUACAUUGCAUUUCUAGUGGUUUUAGCAAUUUGCCACAUCGCACUUGGGCAACAGUUGAAUUUGCACUGGCUCCAUAAGAUUGGAGUGAUUGCUGCUCUGCUUUCCACCAUUGUUGCACUGAUCGCAGUCAAUCAAAUAUGGUGGCAAGAAUGGGAUGUCAUCCCCAUAUCCCUACAGGCCACAGGUCCAUUCCUGCACAUAGGAGCUCUUGCUGCGGUCACCGCACUGGCUUGGAUUGUUGCUUCUCAGAUUGCUCAUGCAGAAAAAACAAUGUUCCAGGUGGGAAUUAUGCUUCUGUAUCUGAGCGUGUUAGUGGGCCUUUACGUGGUGCCUGUCUACAUCACUUCUCCAUGCAUUAUGAACCCUGCCAGGCUCAAACCACGGCCUGAUGUCAUUGGCCAUCAAGGUGCCCCCAUGCUUGCCCCAGAGAACACACUGUGGUCCUUCCAGAGAGCUCUGCAGAUGAAUGUCAGUGGGCUAGAGGCUGACGUGGCCAUCAGUAUGGAUGGCGUGCCUUUCUUGAUGCAUGACCACACUCUGCAGAGGACCACAGAUGUGGAGAAAGUUUUCCCAGAUAGGCAGAUGGAUGAUGCCUCAUUCUUUAACUGGACGGAUCUGCAGCAGCUCAACGCAGGGCUAUGGUUCCUCAAGGAUGACCCUUUCUGGAUGGUACACUCUCUGUCCUCCCAUGAGACUCAUCUGAUUGCCAACCAGAGUGUCUGCAGCCUGGAGCAGCUUCUUAAAUUGGCUUCUUACCACAACAGCACAGUGGUUUUCAGGUUGAGGAGACCUCCUCCUGGGCACCCCUGUUACCACAGCUGGAUCAAUGACACAGUGCAGGCUGUACGACGGUCUGGGGUACCUCAGGGCCUGGUGAUGUGGACCCCAGACACAAACAGAGCUCAGGUGAGACUGCUGGAACCUGGCCUGGUUCAGACCUCAUUGGAGAAACGGAGCCCUCAGAGCCUUCAUCAAUCCGGCAUCAGCAGGCUGCUGCUCAGAUACAGCCAGGCCAGUGCACAGGAAAUCAGAGAGUUCUCUCAGAGCAACAUCAGCCUCACUGUGUACACUGUAAAUGAGCCAUGGCUGUACUCUGUCCUCUGGUGCAGUGGAGUGUCUUCAGUUUCCUCUGAGGCCUCACAUAUCCUCAGAAAGGUGCCUUACCCAAUCUGGCUCUUGAGACCAGAGGAAUACUGCCUGAUGUGGGUGUCUGCAGACAUAGUCUCCUUUGCUGUAGUCAUUGGAAUAUUUAUUUUGCAGAACUAUCACAUGAUCAGGUUUAGGAUGAGUGGCAUGCGCAGUUACCACCCGGAGCAGAUCAUGCUGAGCGCAACGGUCGGCCGGUCCAGCCGAGACGUCAGCGUCAUGAAGGAGAAACUUAUCUUUGCCGGUCAUACCCAGUAGCAGCCUGCCUCAUCCCUCCAUGUGUGGCGUGCAUCACCCCUCCACCUUCUCUUUCAUCCCUCGCUACCUGCCAAUCUCAGCCUUCUUUGUCCUUCUCCCUUCAUGCGCCUCACCCCCGAUUGUCAUGCGGAGAUUAAACUCUGUUUUUGCUUAGUCAACCUCUAACACUGGAGGGGACAAAAGAGGUGGGGAAUGGCAUUGGCAGUGUUGAGGAGCUGUACGUGGACAAUGGCUACGACUAAUCCACCGAGAACCACUAACCAGGUCUCGACCCCUGUGGAUCUACUGCGAGUUAGACCACUGUCCUGAAGAAGAAGAGGGCGUCGCUCUGAGCGACUGGCUCGAUGGGCUCGUCUCGCAUCGUUUUCAUUUGUCCAUCUGCAUCACGUGACAUCUCCUCCUCUCUCCCACUGAUUAGCAGGCUGCUCUGUCUGAGAGAGAGAGAGCGGCCGCCCUGUCACUCUGUGCACAUUUUGUAUAUACCCCUGUCAGAUGCACUGUAAUGCACAGGAAACUGCGAGCACUUUUUUUUUUUUAUUGAUGGAAAAAUCUGCCGUCACAGCUACAAAUAAUUCCAGACUUUUAAGCUAUUUUUGUUUUGAUGCGCUGUAUACGACCUUCUAGUCCUUGCAGAUUGUCUGCCGUUUGAACCAGGCACUGGUGCAGCAAGAAGCGAAAACGUUACUGCUUGUAUGCUUCUGCCUUCUGUUGACACGACGCUUGUCUUAACGUGAGCAAUUUUAACAUACUUAUAAAGAAAAACAAUGUGUUUACAGAGGUCCUGCCUUUUCUCCUCAAACAUGUAAGAUAAUUAAUUUCAGAGGCCGGACGUUCUUUUGUCCAGCACGUCAGUUGUGAACAUAUCAGUUGAUUUGUGGGAGCUGUCCAGAACAACUCCUGAAGCACUCAUAGGAGGAACGGCGAAUGCAAAGAUGUGUAUUCUGUGUAAGAUGUUUGUAUUUUCUGGUGUGCAGUGCUUUGUUGAGUCCGUACAUAACAGCUGAACAUAUAUGUGAGCUGAUGAACAGCAUUUAAACCAAGUGACAGUGUUGAACCGUUAAAUUACAAAAA